Long non-coding RNA from Mizuhopecten yessoensis (Yesso scallop), 1322 nucleotides. RefSeq lists it as uncharacterized. The record is from RefSeq and is a predicted model, not a curated record. The transcript has 3 exons. NCBI's taxonomy places the organism in Eukaryota, Metazoa, Mollusca, Bivalvia, Pectinida, Pectinidae.
CAGACGGAUAACAUCAGAUUUGUGCCGACGUUAAAGGGGCAGUCUGGAAAUAACAACUCCACUGUAUCUCGCUCCACUUGUAUGUCGGCAGUAACCCAAAGUUCCACUAACGGGCUAACGCUAAAGAAAAACGACCAUAAUACAAAGACGCUAUCGAUUGAAGUCACAGGCAAAUCUGAUGUCACCACUAUUGCACUGGAGGCUAGUACAUCUAGACUAGCGCUUCCUACAGUAGACACCAGGCAAAUAUCAGAUGGGACCAAGCUAUGUGGAAAAUGACGUUUACUACGAAUCAUUGAAAAUAAAAUCUGGAGAGAAGUGAAUAUUGUUUAUUUACAGUGACGAUAGGGUAAAAACAUAGCUAUAUAUGACAUUUGUAAUUACUUUUCUGUCGUGUGUCUUCUCAUUCGUGUUUAAUCAACGUGUGGAUAUCGUUGUUUAUUGUGACGAUAGGGUAAAAAUAUUGUUAAGAGUGACAUUUGUAAUGACGUUUCUUCCGUGUGUUCUCACAUUCGUGUUAAAUCAACGUGUGAAUAUCGCUUGUUUAUUGUGACGAUAGGGUCAAAGCACUGUUGAGAUUGACGUUUGUAAUUUCGUUUCUAUCAAUAUAACCUGAAAUUGUGCGUCAUCAAAACGUGUAUUGGUGGCCGCGGCCUUACACAGAAGUGGAGUAUGAUUUUCAUACUGUUUCGAGUGUAUGAUAAGGACGAUGUGUAACCACAUUCAGACCCAUCAGGUUUGUGACGUGAUUCCAACAACCACAACCGCUCGUAACACAAGUGAUUGAUAUCCAUUAGAAAUGAUUUGUGUUCCUUUAGGAUAUUUACAUUUCUAAGAGAAACAUAAACAAAGCGAUAGUUGUUUGAUGUGUAAGGUGUAAUAAGUAGUUAUACCAUUAUUUCAUUGUAAAUAGUAAGUAUGUAGGUAAUUUGUUAUCAACCGUAGCUUUAUUCAUAAGUUGUAACUAAUAGUUGUAUAUGUAAGUUGUAAUAAGUAGUAAAUCUUUAAUUGCAGUUAGUAAUAUGAUACGUAAAUUCUUAUCAACUGUUGCUGCACGUGUUAAUUGUAAAAAGAUGUAACUAAAUAGAAAUAAGAUUAUACGUGUGCAAUUAUAAAAGUACCUAUACGGAUGUUAUGAUAAGAUCUUUUUACAUUUUGUUUAUAUAUAAAAUGGAUAUGUCCUGUGAUUUUUUAUAUUGUAAAAACAUUUUCUGGUGAUCUGUCGUGUAACAAGUGUUUUGAACAUUGUUUUGUUUAUGUAGAGAACAGAAGACCUCGACAGAAGAGUAUUAAUGUAACAAAAUUCAACAAGUAAAUAAAUA